This 352-nucleotide ribosomal RNA is filed under the name uncultured bacterium. Its description in RNAcentral is "bacterial SSU rRNA". It matches the Rfam family "Bacterial small subunit ribosomal RNA", at positions 8 to 350 of the family's 1533-position model. The record is from RNAcentral.
AGAGUUUGAUCAUGGCUCAGGAUGAACGCUAGCUACAGGCUUAACACAUGCAAGUCGAGGGGAAACGACAUCGAAAGCUUGCUUUUGAUGGGCGUCGACCGGCGCACGGGUGAGUAACGCGUAUCCAACCUGCCCACCACUUGGGGAUAACCUUGCGAAAGUAAGACUAAUACCCAAUGACGUCUCUAGGAGACAUCUGAAGGAGAUUAAAGAUUUAUCGGUGAUGGAUGGGGAUGCGUCUGAUUAGCUUGUUGGCGGGGUAACGGCCACCAAGGCGACGAUCAGUAGGGGUUCUGAGAGGAAGGUCCCCACCAUUGGAACUGAGACACGGUCCAAACUCAUACGGGAGGCA